UCUGGCGGGUCGCGGCCAGGGCCACACCCGGGCUGCCCGUCGCUUGGGAGCGGCGCCCACUGGAAAGGUGGGGAAGAUGCGGCGAGGCGGCCGCGGGUGACCGCUGGCAGCCAUUGUGGCGUGCUCCCGUGCUGUCUUCCAAGAGCCCCGAAAAUUGGGCUGCCAUAUAUUGGAAUCUACUACAUUGUAAUUUUAUUCAUGUAUGGAACACCUGUAUAUACUUUUGAUUCUUGCUACAGAAACACAGUUCUGUAAAUGAAGAUUUCAUGACAAAGAAGAGUGUGAACUAUUUAAAAGUAACUACUUCUUUUGACAAAACUAAAGGGAACACAACUUUGUAGUUGCAGUGAAGAGCCCAUUACUGCUAUCUAGAAUGCAUCAGAGAUGCUCACUUUCAUAGCAUAGACUGAGCACAGCAUAGAAAGAGUUUCAGGCAGCUUUUCUCAAGAGAGCCAAAUUUCUAGCCCAGCCAAAAAACCUUAAGAAGAUAGAGGUAAAAUUUUGCCUCCCCUACAGUUUCUGGUUAUGAGGUUGGGAUUUCAAUGGUUGGGACACUGAGAGAUCCUGGGACAGCUGACAAAAAGCCAGCAGAAGCAUUGGUCAAGACAGCAGAAAAGAUGAACCAACAGAAUGUAAGUCCAAUGAGAAGAGUCACUAGAACAUCUGUGGGAGCACAGAGGAGAAACUGCCCAGGAGUCAAAAAGUUUUCAUAGAGGAGGUAGAAAGGAGAAGUUCGGAGAGCCCUUCCUGCAUGUGCUGUUUCUCAAAUGCCUUCCACUCAGAAUAAUCAAUGUGUCAAAGCUGUGUAUUUCGAUUCGCAUUUGGCAUGUUCUGCUCCCCUCAGGCUUCUGAGCCCCUGCUUUCAUCCUUAAUUUACUGAAACUUUCAGGAUUCAGCAAUUAAACUUCUGUGAGUGAGACUCUGCCACAGCUCAUUCCCCAAUAAUCAGAGUGCCACACAGGGCCAGGACUAGGGUGAAGCAAGCAAGGCCCCCAGAGAACAGAAUUUCAGAAGGCAUGCACUCUGUGAUGCCAGCCACGCCACUUGUACAACCCUAGGAGGGAAUGCCUCCUGACAUGCUGCCCCCUGGCGGUCUUGCUGGCCUCACCCUAGUGCUGGCCCUGGACUGCCUCAGCACAGUGUUUGGAGGGCCAGCCUAAAUGCUUGCUAGAGUGCCCUUGAGUCAAUUUUCCCUCCCUAAAGUACAUUCCUCAAAUCCCCAAGGUUCUGGGAGGGGGCCAUUGCUUUUAUCUUCCCCACAGAGUCCUCAUAUUAUGCUCCAGAAUUCACCUUGUCCCAGGGUGAUUGAAGGUGGAAGCACACAUUCUCUUCACCCCCCCCAUUCUCAGAGCUAUCCUCCCUUACCUUAGGUUCUCAUCAAAAGAUUCCUCUGAAAAUAAUGAGCCGUCCAUUUUCCAAAAUGUGAACAACUCAAUCUUUUAUAAUAGGCUUACAACCAAGCAGUGAAGCUCGUUUUGGAUAUUUGUGGCUUGUCUUCAGCUCUAAUUUCCUACUUCUAGUUACUUGGACAAAAUCACAUCCCUUCCUUCAAAACAGUGAUUUUUAGGUGUAGGCUAUUCUAUUUCCAGAUUAAGAAAAAAUGUUUUUAAUAUCAUUUUCAGGGAUGUGGUUCUGCUAAAAAGAAACAAAAACAAUUUACCCCUUUAAAUAGGACCCUCGAUUUUUCAACAUAGACCAUCUAUAUUUGUAUAUUUUUACAGAAUUCCCCAAGGAAAGUUGGUAGAUACUUGACUCAUAUUCAUGUAACUAAAAAAUCAUGCAAAAAUAAUACUUUCCAGAGUGCGGGGAGGGUCUGCUCCUAAAAGUAAUCUGUUUUUCCAUCCUGUGUGGCAGAAGGUGCUUGCAGCAUAUAAAAUGAAAAUGUUCUUGCAUCUACACUUUUUGUUAAGGUCCAGUCUUUAGUAAGCAAACUCCUUCCUCAGUUAAGGCAAAGAAUUUCAUGUCAUUCCACUGUACAGGAUGUGGGCCAGCCUAUGUAUUGGUGGUUCUUCAGUCAGGUGCCUACCUGGCCUCAAUCACCCCAUGUGGUAUGGGGUGAGGUAGUCACAUAAUAAAAAACAAGGUUACUUGGUCAGCAUGGGCCAUAAAUGGUCUGGGGUAGAAGCAAGGUAUUUACAUCAUUAACACAGGCCAAAAGUGAUUCUAAUUUGAGAAUCCCUAGGAAAUGCAUCUUUGAAAACAAAAGGUAUGUAUCUAGUGAUAAAUUCCCCAUAAAAGAGAAGGAGCAGGGAACAUCUGUGAUUGGGAUUUGAUCUCCUCUACUCCCAGCCCAACUUGGUGUACAUGGGGCUGAUCCAUAUAAAUAGGCAAAGUUUCAGAGAACAGGUUGAGAGAAUGGAACAUUUUGUUUAUGACAAAGACUUCCAAAGGGCAGAGUGUAUUGGGGAAGUUGCAGAGGAAUAUGAUACUGCGUCAGAUCACUAGCUAGAGGAUGCUCAGAGCCAUAUAAUUUAGUACGUCCCAUCUUUCAAAAAAAUGCUUCUUGACCACACUUCCCCUUGCAAAAGCUUCUUUAUUUCUCAAUUCCACCUUACUGCAAAGCUCCUCAAAAGAGUUGUCUAUUAUCUCUAUUUUACUUCCUAUCCUCAUAUUCUCUCUUAUAUUCACUCCAUUCAGGCUUUAUAACUUUGGCAAAGUAAUCAAUCUUCAUGUUUCCAGGUCCAAUGAUUAUUUUUCAGUUUCAUCUUGUUAACCGCCAGCAGUGGUUGACACAGUUGAUCAUUUCCUCUUUCUUGAAAUAUUUCUUCACUUGGCUUUAAGGGCAUCAUAUCUCUUUGAUUUUCCUUCUACCUCAUAGACCAUUUGUUCAGAGCCUCCAUUGUUGAUUUCUCCUCCUCAGCAUUUAUUGGAGUCUACCAAGGCUUAAUGCCCAGCUCUCUUCUUUAUCCACCUUCCCUCCCUAGAUUAUCUCAUCCAGUAUCAUUACUUUAAGUGGCGUCUAUAUGCUGAUGACUCCCCCAAAUUCUUAUCUCUAGUCCUGACCUUGACCCCACUCCCAAGUCAGUAACUUUUACAACCACUUCUUGGUGUCUCCACUUGGAGAGUGUAAAAGUUUACAUGUCCAACACUGUCUUUCUUCCCCCAAACCUGCUCUUCAUAUAGUUUUUCUUAUUUUAAUAAUUGGCAACUCCAUUCUAUCCAUUGCUCAGGCAAAAAAUGAUCCUGAAUUCCUCUAACACCUCACAUCCAGUCACUCUGGAAAUCCUACUUCUUCUACCUUUAAAAUAUAACUUGAAUCUAGCCAUUUAUCACCACCACUUAUGCUACCCUGUUUCAAGUCACCAUAGCUCUCAUGUGGAUUAAUAGCCUCCUCACUUAUCUUCCUGUGUUUCUAUCCCCACCUUCCCACAUAGUCUAUUGUUAAGACAGCAGCCAUAAUGAUCCUUUUAAUACAUAAUUCAGAUCAUGUUACUCUUGCACAACCCUUCCAUCCCACCCCAACCCCUGCAUUUCCAAUCAGUGAGAGGAUACAUUUUUAGUACUUGGCAUUGGGUAUAUUUGGAUAGUCCUUUGGCUAAAUAUUUUUAUUGAAGCAUAAUUGAUUUAAAAUAUCAUAUUAGUUUCAGGUGUAUCACAUAG
This is a long non-coding RNA of Aethalodelphis obliquidens (Pacific white-sided dolphin), 3600 nucleotides long. RefSeq lists it as uncharacterized. The transcript has 6 exons. NCBI's taxonomy places the organism in Eukaryota, Metazoa, Chordata, Mammalia, Artiodactyla, Delphinidae. The record is from RefSeq and is a predicted model, not a curated record.